UUAUUUUUAUACUUUAACUUUGAUUUUAUUUUUAUGUUUUUUAAAUAUUGGUGUUUUUGAAUGUGUUGUUUAAAUAACAUAAAAAAUAAAAUAUAUAUUGACAUGUAUUAAACAAAGAUAUAUAUUAUUUUAUGUUGUAUAAAUAAAUUGGCAAAAUAGAGAUGGAAGAUAAAAAUAUGGUCAAAGUAAUAAGAGUCUAUGGU
This 203-nucleotide unclassified non-coding RNA is filed under the name Borreliella burgdorferi (Lyme disease spirochete). Its description in RNAcentral is "partial 5S-23S ribosomal RNA intergenic spacer". The record is from RNAcentral. Lineage: Bacteria; Pseudomonadati; Spirochaetota; Spirochaetia; Spirochaetales; Borreliaceae.